UACGGGGGGGGUAAGCGUUGUUCGGAAUUACUGGGCGUAAAGGGCUCGUAGGCGGCCAACUAAGUCGGACGUGAAAUCCCUCAGCUUAACUGGGGAACUGCGUCCGAUACUGGAUGGCUUGGAUUUGGGAGAGGGAUGCGGAAUUCCAGGUGUAGCGGUGAAAUGCGUAGAUAUCCGGAGGAACACCAGUGGCGUAGGCGGCCGGCUGGACCUGUCCUGACGCUGAGGCGCGAAGGCGUGGGGAGCGAACGGG
RNAcentral lists this ribosomal RNA (253 nucleotides) under uncultured bacterium. RNAcentral's name for it is "partial 16S ribosomal RNA". It matches the Rfam family "Bacterial small subunit ribosomal RNA", at positions 524 to 776 of the family's 1533-position model. The record is from RNAcentral.